RNAcentral lists this ribosomal RNA (468 nucleotides) under uncultured bacterium. RNAcentral describes it as "partial 16S ribosomal RNA". It matches the Rfam family "Bacterial small subunit ribosomal RNA", at positions 28 to 507 of the family's 1533-position model. The record is from RNAcentral.
GACGAACGCUGGCGGCGUGCUUAACACAUGCGAGUCGAACGGAAAGGCCCUGCUUUUGUGGGGUGCUCGAGUGGCGAACGGGUGAGUAACACGUGAGUAACCUGCCCUUGACUUUGGGAUAACUUCAGGAAACUGGGGCUAAUACCGGAUAGGAGCUCCUGCUGCAUGGUGGGGGUUGGAAAGUUUCGGCGGUUGGGGAUGGACUCGCGGCUUAUCAGCUUGUUGGUGGGGUAGUGGCUUACCAAGGCUUUGACGGGUAGCCGGCCUGAGAGGGUGACCGGCCACAUUGGGCCUGCGAUACGGCCCAGACUCCUACGGGAGGCAGCAGUGGGGAAUAUUGCACAAUGGGCGGAAGCCUGAUGCAGCAACGCCGCGUGCGGGAUGACGGCCUUCGGGUUGUAAACCGCUUUCGCCUGUGACGAAGCGUGAGUGACGGUAAUGGGUAAAGAAGCACCGGCUAACUACGUG